RNAcentral lists this transfer RNA (77 nucleotides) under Mus musculus (house mouse). It matches the Rfam family "tRNA". Rfam says of the family: Transfer RNA (tRNA) molecules are approximately 80 nucleotides in length. Their secondary structure includes four short double-helical elements and three loops (D, anti-codon, and T loops). The record is from Rfam by way of RNAcentral. Lineage: Eukaryota; Metazoa; Chordata; Mammalia; Rodentia; Muridae.
GUAGAGAUGGCUCAGUGGUUAAGAGCACUGGCUUUUUGCUCUUCCAGAGGUCCUGAGUUCAAUUCCCAGCAACCACA